This 189-nucleotide antisense RNA is filed under the name Jatropha curcas. RNAcentral's name for it is "Antisense RNA which regulates isiA expression". It matches the Rfam family "Antisense RNA which regulates isiA expression". The record is from Rfam by way of RNAcentral. Lineage: Eukaryota; Viridiplantae; Streptophyta; Magnoliopsida; Malpighiales; Euphorbiaceae.
AAUAACCAAAAAUAACACUUGGCUAAGGGACAAGUUGGUAAUUUUCUUACAUCUCCUCCUCUCUCCUGGAGCCCAAGUAUCAUAUAUGCCCCCAAAAUAAAGAGCCUUGAAUACUAGAAGAAAAGCACCUAUGCCUAGCAAGAUUAAGUGAAUACCUAAAAUUGUUGUCAUUUUAUUUCUAUCUUUCCA